Long non-coding RNA from Triticum dicoccoides, 2347 nucleotides. RefSeq lists it as uncharacterized. The transcript has 4 exons. The record is from RefSeq and is a predicted model, not a curated record. NCBI's taxonomy places the organism in Eukaryota, Viridiplantae, Streptophyta, Magnoliopsida, Poales, Poaceae.
AGGACGACGGAGGCAAGGAAGCUGAGCACGGCGACGGCGGCUGACGGCGGAGCAGCACAGGUCGACGAGCACCUCCCGGGUCAAGCGGCAGCUCAGCAUCCUCCCGCUCCGUUUCCGUGGUCGUUUCUUUUUGUGGCCUUCAUUAUUGACCAAUCUCUACCUUGAAAGUUGAAAGGGAGCGUGCAUCCACUCCACUCCAGCCACAAAAAAGGAUGCCUCCCUUGCCUAGUGCAACUUGUUGAAAGCUCUCCGGCGGCUUCACUUCCUGGCGCCUUGCUCUCCUAUCGCUGAUUCUUCUGGCUGGGUUGCUUCUUAUCACGACUGCCGCGCGAUUGCCGCUUUGCUCUUCCACUACUGUCCGCGACUCCAGUACUCGUUUUGGUUUUACUUGCGCGAUUCUGGAGAGGGGGCAUAACUCGUUUGUGAUCAAGCUCAUCUUUCUUGAACUGAUUUCUGGAAAGACAGGAGAUCCACGGGUACUCUCGCCCCACGGAACUGCUAAUGAGUCGCCAAGCCAGUGCUGCACGAAAUGACCUUGAGCACAUGCUAUCUCAUGAAAACGAACAGCCAAAGGCCUUGCAAUUAUCACUUUUGGAAGAUAUCACAGAUGGUUUCUUUGAGAACCGUCAAAUUGGCAGCGGUGGGUUUGCGGUGGUUUAUAAGGGAGAGCUUGAGAAUGGGAUCGUUGCUAUGAAGAAGCUGUUUGAAAGGCUUGAUAUUCCCAAAAAUAAAUUCAACGGAGAGAUUCGCUGUUUGAUGAAGGUGAAGCACAAAAUUAUAGUAUGUUUUUUGGGAUAUUGUGCAAACAUGUAAGGCGAAACGGUAGGCUACGAUGGAGAUUUUGUCAUGGCAGAUGUACGUCAAAGGUUGCUCUACUUUGAGUAUGUACAUAAAGGAAGUCUUGAUGGGAACAUCAAAGGAGGCAACUGCACCGUGGCUUGGGACGCGGUAUGCAGGCCCAAAUGGGCAGGUGGAUUGGGGAUCCCAAACCUAGAGUGGCUCAAUAAGGCUUUGUGAGCAAGGUGGAGCUUGGUUGCAAAGGGCGGACAGAAGCAGGCCAUGGUCCGAGUUCUACAUCCUGCCGGCGGAGGCUUUGGAAUUGGUAUGAGCAGCGGCUUACAAUAUGGUGGGCAAUGGCAGAUCUACAUACCCUCUUCUGGGAAAAUAGAUGGAUCAAUGGUUUGAGGAUUCAGGAGAUUGCAUCGAUGGUGCACGAAUUGAUACCGGAUCGGACCAAGAGAUCAAAGUUGGUUUCUGAUGCGCUGCUAAAUGACAGCUGGGCAGGCGACAUCGGCCCCAACUUAUCACUCCAAGCGCUUCAGGAGUUUUUGCGGCUGUGGCCGCUGGUCACUCAACUAACAGAUGACGUCGAGGACGUGGUGACAUGGUCGUGGGAAAAGAACGGCCAGUACUCGGCUAGAUCAGCUUAUGCAGCCAGAUUCAUGGGGCUUGUUGUCUCCUCGACAUCGGCAUUCACCUGGAAGUCGAGGGCACCCUUGCAGUGCCGUUUCUUCGCAUGGCUAGCCCUCAAGAACGGAUGCUGGACGUCCGAUCGUUUGGCCCGCCGCGGACUAGCACAACAAGACACAUGCCCCCUAUGCAACCAACAUGAGGAAACUAUCCAACAUCUGCUUGUGAACUGUGUCUUUGCAAAGCAGGUCUGUCAUUCGAUGGGGGAGAAUCAUGUGCAGGCUAGAAUUUGAACCCCAAAAUGGUGAAGGCCUCGACGAAUGGUGUUCUAGACAGGAUCAAAGCCCAAUGCACCGCAAAUUGACUCGGGUAAAAUCCCUCCUUGGGAUGUGGAUGUUGUGGAAGCACCGGAAUGACAUCGUGUUCAACGGUGCCACACCGUCUCUACCUGCAAUUUUCCUUAGAAUUAGAGAGGAGGGAAUUCUAUGGGCGAAGACUGACCUCAUGAAAGGCAACACCUUUGCUUUUGAGGCGGAUGACGGUAGGCCAGACACCUGAGGUGUAGUAGUAGCUAGUUCGUCCGGUGGUGUCGGAUGAUCCCGAUAUGUAAUUAUUGUUGUAACCGUGGAUUUGGGAGGCUUCCCUUUUCUUCUUUAAUGAAUGAUACACACACUCGUGCGUAUUCGAGAAAAAAAGUAUUUCAAUCUUCAUAUAUGUCAAAUAUGAAGAUGGAUCAGUGGAAGACGGCGGCGGCGAUCUCUGAGAAUGCGUCGGACCGGUGUGUGCCCCAGACCCAGUAUGAGUCUUGGUUGGGGCCUUCGGCUUUACAUGUUAGGAUUUGGUGCGAGGUCUGUUUGAUAUUCGGCUCGGGCCGGGGGUCAUCCUCCUUUUCCAAAAAAAAAUAUGUCAAAUAUUAACACCUUACUUUCUCAAUUCU